RNAcentral lists this ribosomal RNA (402 nucleotides) under uncultured bacterium. Its description in RNAcentral is "bacterial SSU rRNA". It matches the Rfam family "Bacterial small subunit ribosomal RNA", at positions 355 to 773 of the family's 1533-position model. The record is from RNAcentral.
UGGGGAAUAUUGGACAAUGGGCGCAAGCCUGAUCCAGCCAUGCCGCGUGAGUGAUGAAGGCCCUAGGGUUGUAAAGCUCUUUCGGCGGGGACGAUAGUGACGGUACCCGCAGAAGAAGCCCCGGCUAACUUCGUGCCAGCAGCCGCGGUAAUACGAAGGGGGCUAGCGUUGUUCGGAAUCACUGGGCGUAAAGCGUAUGUAGGCGGAUCGUUAAGUCGGGGGUGAAAUCCCGAGGCUCAACCUCGGAACUGCCUUCGAUACUGGCGACCUUCGAGUCCGGGAGAGGUGAGUGGAACUCCGAGUGUAGAGGUGAAAUUCGUAGAUAUUCGGAAGAACACCAGUGGCGAAGGCGGCUCACUGGCCCGGUACUGACGCUGAUAUACGAAAGCGUGGGGAGCAAAC